This is a long non-coding RNA of Lepus europaeus (European hare), 430 nucleotides long. RefSeq lists it as uncharacterized. The record is from RefSeq and is a predicted model, not a curated record. The transcript is spliced from 3 exons. NCBI's taxonomy places the organism in Eukaryota, Metazoa, Chordata, Mammalia, Lagomorpha, Leporidae.
UCUGUGUUCAGUAGAGAUUCCUUUUCGUGGAUAUUUUGCUUUUCCUGAGAUGGAUGUGAGUGCUCCUGGAUAUUCAGUGAUAAUCAAACCCCCGAUGGACUGUGCGACACAGAGAGACGAGAUCCUGCCUGAGCACAAGUCAGUCACAGCAUUCAAGGGCUGGUCUGGUGUCCAUCAUCCUGUCACACUCAUGAUGGUCAUGUCAGCAGAGAAUGAGAGUUCUGGAAGCCAAGUGGCCCAUGACACCUGCUGUUGAGCCUUGUUGGGCUCCCUGCUAAUGCACUUGGAAAAGCAGCAGAAGAUGGUCCAAGUCCCUGCGCCCCUGCACACACAUGGGAAACCUGGAAGAAGCUCCUGGUUCCUGGCUUCCACCUGGCUCAGCUCUGGCCAUUGUGUGAACCAGUAGAUGGAAGUCUCCCUCUCCCUCUCC